GCUGACUUCCGCGUCAGACAGUGUUCGUUUGGACAGCGAGUGAGACGGAGGGCCUGCGCGCGCGGAGAGGGAGACGGACAGAGAGGCAGAAAGUAGAGAAAGAGAGACAGGAGGAGGAGAUUUAAGGUUUAUUUAGACGUCAGCCAACAGGAAGUCAUAGAAGACGCUGCUGGUGCAGAAUGAAGCCUGCGGUUUGGUACAUGAUGAUGAUCAUUGUGGGCUUUUUCUACGUGUACCUGACGGCCAUCCAGUACAUCCGGGGCCAGGAGCUGGAUGAGCCUCCCAGUAACUACCUGCCGCAGUAUGACCCACAGUACUUCGACGAGAACCUCUUCAGCCCGACGAGCAGCCUGGACUUCGAGUACCACGACUACACGAGCAUGACGUCCUUCCUGCGGGCCAUGAGCGCCACGUACCCCAACCUGACGGCGCUCUACUCCAUCGGCAAGAGCGUGCAAGGGCGAGAUCUGUGGGUGCUGGUGGUGUCCGCAUCGCCGUACGAGCACAUCGUGGGCCAACCCAAUGUCAAGUACGUAGCCAAUAUGCACGGAAACGAAGCGGUUGGCCGAGAAAUGCUCCUGCACUUGGUAGAGUACCUGGCGAAGAGCUACCACACGGACGAGUACGUGCGGUGGCUGCUGGACAACACCCGCAUCCACAUCCUGCCCUCGAUGAAUCCGGAUGGCUUCGAGGUGGCGAGGGAAGGCACGUGCCAGGGGGGGCAGGGAAGGUACAACUCCCGCGGCUUCGACCUGAACCGCAACUUCCCCGACUACUUCAAGCAGAACAACAAGCGGUCGCAGCCGGAGGCCGAGGCCGUGAAGCAGUGGGUGUCCAAGAUCCAGUUCGUGCUGUCGGCCAACCUGCACGGCGGCGCCCUCGUGGCCUCCUACCCCUUCGACAACUCGCCCAACACCAUCAAGAACUGCGACUUGAAGCCAUUGUGUGCAGUCUUCCAACAGUUCACCUCCACGCCUUCGCUCACGCCUGACGACGACGUCUUCAAGCACAUCGCCAGCCUCUACGCCUUCAACCACGCCACGAUGCACCUGGGCCUCCCGUGCAAGCCGGGCGCGCCCACCUUCGCCAACGGCACCACCAACGGAGCCGCCUGGUACCCGCUCACUGGUGGCAUGCAAGACUACAACUACGUCUGGCACGGUUGCAUGGACAUCACCAUCGAAAUGUCAUGUUGCAAAUACCCCCCCGCUGAUGAUCUGCCCAAAUUCUGGGAGGACAACAAGAAGGCCCUAGUGAGGUACCUGGGCGAAGUGCACCGCGGCGUCCGGGGCUUCGUGAAGGACGAGCGCAACGCCCCCGUGGAGGGCGCCUCGCUCAAGAUCAAGGGGCGCGACGUCGGCUUCCAGACCACCAAGUACGGGGAGUACUGGCGCGUCCUGCUGCCCGGCCGCUACGCCAUCGAGGUGUACGCUGAAGGUUUCGAACCCAGGGAAGAAGAGUUCGAGGUUAUUGAGACGAAUCCAACCCUGCUGAACCUCACCUUAUACAAAGCUGUGCCCGGCCCGACAGCCCUGCCCUCGCGGCCGGAGCAACAGGCGCCCGAGACCACAGCCGGGCCAGAGACCCUGAGCAAUCCUGCGCCGUGGGUCUGGGCCGUCGUCCUGAUGGCGGUGACGGCGGCCACUCUGUUCGCGGCCAAGGUCGUGCGGGCGAGGUCGAAGAAAAAUUAGUGGGAAAGGCCUUGGAAUUGGUCGGCAAUGAGAGGGCGUUAGGAUUUUUUUUUUUUUUUUUUUCUGAAGAGAGAGAGAUUAAUAGUGCUGGGAAUUGGAAGGAAUUAGCGAGAAGGAUUUGAGGAGGGAAUUAGAGAGAAAAUUUGUUGGACAUUUGGAGAAGGAAUAUGCUGGAAAAAAAAGUUAAAAAGAGGAAAGAAAAUGUUUAGUUUUCGCGAUAACAAAUCGAGGAUAAAGAUGACUAUAAACUGAUUUUCGAUAUCGUGAAAUUUAAUAGAAGUAAACCUAAAUAGCGAUACAUUUCCUAUAAAAGUGUUGGGGAAAAAAUAUCAAAUAUUCUCACCGAAUGAUUAUUUCGAUUCGGAUCCCCUUCAAAGACGGAAUUUUGAACUUCGCAACUUGGAUUUUUUUCGUGAUAGUGUAAUACAGAUAACACAGGAAAGACCGCGAGGCUUUUCGUUAUAAAGAUAAAAUUUCCGAAUUCCAUUAACUCGAAAGGACACGUGCCAGAUUGUAGGAAGGCUGGGUUAGAGGUUAUGGAAGCAACGAAAUAGAAAAAAAUAAGCUCGCUUUUUACGGAAGAGAAGUUUAGAUAAGGGAUAAAAGCCUAAACUGUUAUAAAUAAAUAAAUAAAAACGCGAGUAGCUAGCGUUAUGUGGUAGUUUUUCUGUAACUGAUGUUAUCGAGAUGUAAAGGCAGUGGUGUUGACGAAACAAAUUUUGUAAAUAAAUGAGUGAAUAAUCGUCUUAAGCCGAUGUCCGCCUACACAGCAACGAGCGUCAUUUUAGCAAGUUGUUGAUUUAUAUGGUUUAUAUUUUACGCUCGUUUCAUAUCACAGUUCUUUUUUUCUAAGGUUCACUUUGAUCGUUAGAGCGCCGAGGUCCGUUCUCUGGUUACAGCUGAAAUACGCCUGUGUGUUCACCUGUAUUUAGUAAGAUAUCUUAGGCACGUAAUUCAUCGUAAGCCUUCAUCGUUCGAAAGAAAAGGAAAGAAAAUAUUAUUAUAUAUCUAAUCAUCGUGUAACUUGUCAUUAACUGAUUCCCAGUUAAUCAGCUUUAUUCGUGGCUCUAUGGAAAACUGAGUAAGACAUUUUUAGGCCCGUAAUUCGUCGUCUGUUACAGAAAGUUGGUAGAUGUUCCGUAUAUCCAGUUCGGUUUUUGACACUUUUUAAACUACACGAAAUAUGCACAUCGUUGUCUUUUAGAUCUGAUGUUUCUAGAUCUUGUGUUACUGAUUAUGUGAUAAGAAUAUCCGCCAUUUUUUAAUAGUAAUUAUAAUGCAACAUGGUAAUGGUCUUGUCUGUGAUAAUCUAUCGAAAGAAUAUAAAAUUUGUAAAAUGAAAAAAAAAAAGUUCUUGCAGUUGAUUUGAAUGUGACUUUAGGCAGUUUUCCUUUUUUGAGGUUCAGAUUUAGCUAGAAGUUUAUAGUGUUGAUGUGUCGUAGCCAAAGAUUUACAGUUUGAUUUGUUUAUGACACUUAGUGUUUGAUUCAGACUAAAGGUUUUCUUAAAGGUUUUAAAGUUGUCUUCAUCGCAUCUUCACUGAAAAACGUGAGUCGUUUCAGUGAUUGCGCUUCGAUGACUCGUAGGAUAAAGUUUAAGCCGAACUUCUCUUUUAAAUCUCACACGUCUGGAACGGACAUGUUUUCUCAACUGUUCUUGAGACGAAAAGGGGAAUAUAUAUACAGAUACUGUGAAUAAGGAAAUUCAAAUAAGUGUUAAGAGUCAGACGAUAUUAGGAAAAGAGAGAGAGAGAAAGGACCCGCCUCGCAAACCGAAAACCCGAUCGGCCAGAUCCCGGAUUGCUCGGAAGGUCAGCUCAGGUCAGGUCAACAGGCGGGCGCGUGUGACGUCACGGUGCAUGGACGACACGCGCCGGAUCGAGGUCAACACAGGUGGUGGUUGCGACACCCUUGCUGCGCGCUUGCAUGCGGACCGACAGGGGACUUCACGCGUGCCCUGAUGCGGACCCAUGGCGCCAGGGAGGACGCGCGGCACCGCAUCGACCAGCAGCGGCGGCCCGUGUACGUGGGCGGCCCGAGCCAGCAGCAGGGCGGCGCCCCUCAGCCCCAGGGCGGAAUAGGCGGCUUCCUGUCGUCCAUCGGAGACACUAUAUCCAACGUGAUCAGCAUC
Molecule: unclassified non-coding RNA, 3821 nt
Filed under: Penaeus chinensis
Lineage: Eukaryota; Metazoa; Arthropoda; Malacostraca; Decapoda; Penaeidae
Description: carboxypeptidase M-like, transcript variant X1
Source: RNAcentral